GAGUUUGAUCGUGGCUCAGAACGAACGCUGGCGGCAGGCCUAACACAUGCAAGUCGAACGCUCCAGCAAUGGAGAGUGGCAGACGGGUGAGUAACACGUGGGAACCUUUCCUAUGGUUCGGAAUAGCUCAGGGAAACUUGGGGUAAUACCGGAUAAGCCCUUCGGGGAAAGAUUUAUCGCCAUUGGAUGGGCCCGCGUCGGAUUAGCUAGUUGGUGAGGUAACGGCUCACCAAGGCAACGAUCCGUAGCUGGUCUGAGAGGAUGAUCAGCCACAUUGGGACUGAGACACGGCCCAGACUCCUACGGGAGGCAGCAGUGGGGAAUAUUGGACAAUGGGCGCAAGCCUGAUCCAGCCAUGCCGCGUGAGUGACGAAGGUCUUCGGAUUGUAAAACUCUUUUGGCGGGGACGAUAAUGACGGUACCCGCAGAAUAAGCCCCGGCUAACUUCGUGCCAGCCACCGCAGUAAG
Molecule: ribosomal RNA, 468 nt
Filed under: uncultured Alphaproteobacteria bacterium
Lineage: Bacteria; Pseudomonadati; Pseudomonadota; Alphaproteobacteria
Description: bacterial SSU rRNA
Rfam family: Bacterial small subunit ribosomal RNA
Source: RNAcentral